Molecule: long non-coding RNA, 817 nt
Filed under: Homo sapiens (human)
Lineage: Eukaryota; Metazoa; Chordata; Mammalia; Primates; Hominidae
Description: non-protein coding lnc-DDX18-3:1
Source: RNAcentral
CACAGUCUGGCUCAGCUCCCAGACUUGCCACCCAUGAGAAUGAGCCACCUUGGAAGUAGAUCCUCCAGCCCCCAAUAAAGCUGACUCAGCCAGCAUCUCAUAGAGCACAGACAUGCUGUCUCUGCUAAGCUCCAGCCAGACUCAAGAUUCAUGAGCAAAAUAAAUAAUCAUUGUUAUUUUAAGCCAUAGGGCUCUCUUCCAAGCUUGUGGACGGCCACCUCCUCACUGUGUCCUCACGUGGCUUUUCUUCUGCGGGGGUGGGGGGGUUUGAAUGUGUUUGCACUUGCUUUUCUAGUUCUUUUAAUUGUGAUGUUAGUAGAGCUUUAUUUCAGUGUUUCAGAAAGCACAUCUAAGGAGAAGACAAGCCACAUAUAUUUUAAUCACACCUCUACCCUGUCUGAAUCUUCUGUCAAAUGUACCUGUCAGCGGGCCAACCAAAGUGAUAAGGUACUCAUUGUCUUUAGAAAUUAAAAAAAAUUAUAAUUACAAUACAGUCUGAUUAGAAACCCACCAGAAUACCUAAAAUUAGAAAGACUGGCAACAUUCAAGUGCUGAUGAGAAUGUAGAACAGGGAUUGGCCAGCUGUUCCUGUAAAGGGCCAGAUAGUAAUUUUCUUAGGCCUCGUAGUCAAGAGACAACAUUUAGGAUAUUAUGAAGGCAGGCACUUAUAUAACACGAGAAACUCUUGACUUUCUCCACCACAUUUGACUGACGUGGACCAGUGAGGUGGUGGGAAGGCUUUGUCCUAGUUGUGGUUGGCUGGAAACUACCUGAAGGAAGAGGAAUGGGUCUGAGGGGUCCCGACGGGGAGGAGAAG